UUUUUUUGAUGUGCAGCGUAUUUAUCAAAUAAUAAAUCCGCUAAGGAGCUAUUCCCUUUUUUUGAAUUAAUCCGCUAAGGAACUGUUUCCUAGGGUUCCUUUGUCCCUUUUUCCUUUUUCUACACAACACCUUUACAGAUCAUCAACCACUAUCAUAAAUCCAAUCCAAAAACAAAGAACUUGAACUUUAAUCUUCAAAUGCUCCAAACGUGAGAGCGACCAAGCUAGUAUGGAUGAACGCGACAGCGACGGUUUUAGGGUUUGCCGACACGGAUGAACACGAUGGCAGCGGCGGCGGACUUAUAGGAAUCUUAGGGUUUCGGAGUUUUUGCUGGUUGGAACGGUGACGGCGACUGCUGUUGUUGUCGGAUGCGGAUUCGACAGGGAAUUGGGACGAGGGAAACUAGAAACAAAACGUCAAUCAUCAUUCGAUCAGAUCAGGGAAUUUCGCAAUUUCGCAUUGAUUCAGUCGCAGCACGGCAGCAGUGAGGAGAUUUGCGAAUAGGGCCCAAAUUUGUUUUAUCUAUUUCAUAACAAUUAUCAAAGUAUUAUGAGUUUUUAGUAUUUAUAUAUUUGAUU
Molecule: long non-coding RNA, 579 nt
Filed under: Helianthus annuus (common sunflower)
Lineage: Eukaryota; Viridiplantae; Streptophyta; Magnoliopsida; Asterales; Asteraceae
Description: sRNA HanXRQr2_Chr17g0780061
Source: RNAcentral